AAAAAACCUGCAGGAUUUCCUGCAGGGCCCUUCUAAUUCCUAGUAAAAGGAUAGAAGGUAAAGGGAGAGGAGAAACCGGAGGAAGAACUUAUGGGGAAACGUAAGUCUUCUCCGCG
Molecule: non-coding RNA, 116 nt
Filed under: Bacillus smithii
Lineage: Bacteria; Bacillati; Bacillota; Bacilli; Caryophanales; Bacillaceae
Description: ylbH leader
Rfam family: ylbH leader
About the family: This family is a putative regulatory RNA structure that is found upstream of the ylbH gene in B. subtilis and related low GC Gram-positive bacteria.
Source: RNAcentral